UACGUAGGGUGCAAGCGUUGUCCGGAAUUAUUGGGCGUAAAGAGCUCGUAGGCGGUUUGUCGCGUCUGCUGUGAAAUCCCGAGGCUCAACCUCGGGCCUGCAGUGGGUACGGGCAAACUAGAGUGUGGUAGGGGAGAUUGGAACUCCUGGUGUAGCGGUGGAAUGCGCAGAUAUCAGGAAGAACACCGAUGGCGAAGGCAGAUCUCUGGGCCAUUACUGACGCUGAGGAGCGAAAGCGUGGGGAGCGAACAGG
Molecule: ribosomal RNA, 253 nt
Filed under: uncultured bacterium
Lineage: Bacteria
Also listed under: 1 other name
Description: partial 16S ribosomal RNA
Rfam family: Bacterial small subunit ribosomal RNA
Source: RNAcentral